RNAcentral lists this transfer RNA (65 nucleotides) under Polylabroides guangdongensis. RNAcentral describes it as "tRNA-Phe". The record is from RNAcentral. Lineage: Eukaryota; Metazoa; Platyhelminthes; Monogenea; Mazocraeidea; Microcotylidae.
UUUUCCCUAGCUUAAAUUAAAGUGUGAGUUUGAAGAGCUUAAGAUAAAUAAUUAUUUGGGAGAAG